UAUACCAUUUCUCAAAUAAUAAAAUUCAUAAAUUUGGAGAGAAUGAAAAUGGUUCAUUCAAUGCCCUCCUUAAUUCCGACAAUCCAAAUGUAGCAUAAAUCUCUUUCAACUCGCGUAUAAUGCUAUUCAACUUCAGAAAAAUGAAAAGCAAAGAAACAUUCGUCAAUGUAGGAAAAUGAUAUCUAAAAGCACAAAAGGGAAAAGAAAAACAACCAUGUUAACUUAUUACACUGUUGGAGGAUGAAUACAUUCUAGGUAUUAUCAAAUACCAAGUUAUAUUUCUUUUUUGGCAUUUCAUCAAACAUGUAAUGUGCACUUUUCCAAAUAUUUGAAAGGAUAUAAUCAACUUGUUGCCCAAUUGCCCAGAAAGCCUAUUAUCUCUAAGAGUCAAUGUAGUCAAAUUUGUUGCCAAAACAGAUCAUCCCGUAUAAUACCUGAGAGAUAGUUUGAAUCAAGGUCUAGGUGUUCCACUGAGCUGCAUUUCUCAAGCUCCAAUAUAAUAUUUCCAUUGAAAUAGUUCACUGCUAAAUUAAUAACUUGAAUACGGGGUGAGUUGUUACAUAUACCAUCAGGAACCAAACACUGAAAAUAUUCUGAGAAAUGUUGAAAACUCGAAUUGAUGGCAGAUCGAUGCUAAUUGGAAACAACCCAGAAAAGACAUUUUUGUUCAAGUCCAAAAACUCUAAAUUGGGCAAAUGCAACAGUUAUGUUGGAAAUGAGCCUUUGAGCACAUUGUGGGAUGAAUUAAGGGAAAUUGAUUCUGAGAGCUUGCCCAUUAAUCUUUCCCUUCCAAGUUCUAACUUAACUGCAAGUGAAGCCUACCCAAUCACAGUAAUUGGGGGGAAAAGAUGAAUUUGCAUUCAAUUUCCACACAUCACUAAUUGAGUUUAAACCAUUUAUCGAACCCUCCAAUGCCUUCAAAUAAUUUGAAUUGCAUGUCAAGUUCUGAGCAUUCAAAACCUCAACUUGUAAAGAACCCCCAAAAAGAAUCAAAAUUAUCCAUAAUUCCAUAAUACCAAUCUCAGAAAAAUAAUCUCAAAUACAUGAAGAAAGAAAAGGGCCUAGUGAAAUCAGCCUUACAUCAAGAUUGAACCUUUAACCAUCUUCCAGAGCAAAAGAAAAAUGAAUAAAGACACCUAAAAAAUAUUUAAAAAAUUGGGGGCUUGUUGGAACAAAAAAUGAAUAUACAGAAAGACAAAGUACUGAUCACCUGAAAACUGCACGCUUUGUUGGCUCAAAAGAUAAGAUUUUGUUUCUGCUUGAACUUCCCGUUCUUGCAAUUAAGAAAAAGAAAACAGAGAAGAAAAAAAUGAGAGACAUAAAAGUAGAUAGGGAACCCCAAAUCACAUAGCAAAAUCAAGUAUUUACCUCGUCCUAGUUGUCGCUGAUGACUUCAAUCUCAUCCUCAUUCCUCAUUCAUCAGUUAGAGGAAUUCAAGCCAGCUUGUAACUCUUUUUUCAUGAAUAUGGUCUGCAUCUUUUUUGGGUGAAUUGUCUUGAUCAACAACUUUACUAUUCCG
Molecule: long non-coding RNA, 1519 nt
Filed under: Panax ginseng (ginseng)
Lineage: Eukaryota; Viridiplantae; Streptophyta; Magnoliopsida; Apiales; Araliaceae
Description: long non-coding RNA (PGIN_LNC008399)
Source: RNAcentral